This 445-nucleotide ribosomal RNA is filed under the name Mycobacterium sp. FI05167. Its description in RNAcentral is "bacterial SSU rRNA". It matches the Rfam family "Bacterial small subunit ribosomal RNA", at positions 50 to 512 of the family's 1533-position model. Lineage: Bacteria; Bacillati; Actinomycetota; Actinomycetes; Mycobacteriales; Mycobacteriaceae. The record is from RNAcentral.
AACACAUGCAAGUCGAACGGAAAGGCCCUUCGGGGUACUCGAGUGGCGAACGGGUGAGUAACACGUGGGUGAUCUGCCCUGCACUUUGGGAUAAGCCUGGGAAACUGGGUCUAAUACCGAAUAGGACUACGCUCUUCAUGGGGUGUGGUGGAAAGCUUUUGCGGUGUGGGAUGGGCCCGCGGCCUAUCAGCUUGUUGGUGGGGUAAUGGCCUACCAAGGCGACGACGGGUAGCCGGCCUGAGAGGGUGACCGGCCACACUGGGACUGAGAUACGGCCCAGACUCCUACGGGAGGCAGCAGUGGGGAAUAUUGCACAAUGGGCGCAAGCCUGAUGCAGCGACGCCGCGUGAGGGAUGACGGCCUUCGGGUUGUAAACCUCUUUCACCAGGGACGAAGCGCAAGUGACGGUACCUGGAGAAGAAGCACCGGCCAACUACGUGCCAGC